UAUACAACCCCUAUAAAUCCAACGUCGCUGGAAUGUGACGUCCUUCGUGGAGACGAGUCCUUAGCUGUCGCCUCCCCUCGUCGAUAUGAGAGCUAAGUGGAGAAAGAAGCGCAUGCGCAGGCUGAAGCGCAAAAGGAGAAAGAUGAGGCAGAGGUCCAAGUAAACUGUCCUCUCCGCCAUGGCUGUGUCAGCACGUGUUGCCAACAACCAGACCGGUGAGCUCAGCUGGAGACCCAGGACCCCUCCCGGUGUCAAGUCUGAGGCCAGUGGCGCCCAUAUCCACCUGAGGCGACAGCCGAUUGAUGCUGGAGAGCUGAUUCAAGACCUGCUGGAUGACAGGCUUUUUCUCUGGGAUAUUCUGGACUCUUUGUUCUUAAUUCCUCAACUUUUGUCACCUGUUUUUGUUUAUACUCUGAUUAAAGGUUUUGGUUUAAAAAAACA
Long non-coding RNA from Dicentrarchus labrax (European seabass), 441 nucleotides. RefSeq lists it as uncharacterized. Lineage: Eukaryota; Metazoa; Chordata; Actinopteri; Moronidae. The transcript is spliced from 4 exons. The record is from RefSeq and is a predicted model, not a curated record.